UUUCUGGUUUUCUUCUUGUUUAUUCUUUGAGUGAUGGAGAGAUGAAGAAAAGAUGAAGAGAGGAAGAAGAUGAACACACGAUGUUUUAAGUGGUUCAGCAAGGCCUACGUCCACUGUGCUUUGAGAGAGCAAGAUUAUGAACAAAAGAAGAAAUUAAUGAAUUGUAGAGGAACUCGAGUGAAGGUGAGGCGUGAAGACCACAUAAGAACACGAGAAGAGAUUCGCUAGAAGACAAAAGUGGUAGAUGGAGUUGAUGUAACUUAACGACAGAGGAAACUUUCGGUGUUGAUGUACUCAAAAUAUUAGAUUUUGCAUUUAAAUUUGCUUAUAAAAAGAAACUUCAUCCUUACCAUGAAAGGGGCGACGUCUGAAUGGACCACCAUCCAUACGCCUUAAGCAAUGAGUAGAGUCCUAGAGAGGUUGUGGCAAGAAAGAGCCUUUUCAUUGUCUGUAAAGCAUUUCUCCAUCUUCUCUAAUCAGUAUAUGGAGUGAAAAGCUUGUAGUCUAAGUAAAGAAGAUCUCAUUUCCCAUCUUUCCCUAA
Long non-coding RNA from Cucumis sativus (cucumber), 541 nucleotides. RefSeq lists it as uncharacterized. Lineage: Eukaryota; Viridiplantae; Streptophyta; Magnoliopsida; Cucurbitales; Cucurbitaceae. The record is from RefSeq and is a predicted model, not a curated record. The transcript has 2 exons.